AUGUCUGCCAUGGAGAUUUUUGGGCAUGUCAGAGAAGUUGAUUGUUAUCCAAAUAUCUUCAUUGCUUAUCGCAUCUUAUUUACUGUGCCUGUGACGGUCGCAUCGGCUGAAAGAAGCUUUUCAAAGCUGAAAUUGUUGAAGAAUUAUUUGAGGUCAACAAUGACUCAAGAGAGGUUAAAUGGUUUGGCUACAUCAUGCAUCGAGAAGAAAUUAUUGGAUGGGAUUGACAUCGACCCCAUCAUAAGCGACUUUGCAUCGAGAAAUGUUAGAAGAAUUUUUUAA
RNAcentral lists this ribosomal RNA (282 nucleotides) under Triticum aestivum (bread wheat). RNAcentral's name for it is "partial small subunit ribosomal RNA". The record is from RNAcentral. Lineage: Eukaryota; Viridiplantae; Streptophyta; Magnoliopsida; Poales; Poaceae.